Molecule: ribosomal RNA, 592 nt
Filed under: uncultured fungus
Lineage: Eukaryota; Fungi
Description: partial large subunit ribosomal RNA
Rfam family: Eukaryotic large subunit ribosomal RNA
Source: RNAcentral
CAAUAAGCGGAGGAAAAGAAACCAACAGGGAUUACCUCAGUAACGGCGAGUGAAGCGGUAACAGCUCAAAUUUGAAAUCUGGCUCUUUCAGGGUCCGAGUUGUAAUUUGUAGAAGAUGCUUCGGGUGUGGCUCCGGUCUAAGUUCCUUGGAACAGGACGUCAUAGAGGGUGAGAAUCCCGUAUGUGACUGGUUGCCUUCGCCCAUGUGAAGCUCUUUCGACGAGUCGAGUUGUUUGGGAAUGCAGCUCUAAAUGGGAGGUAAAUUUCUUCUAAAGCUAAAUAUUGGCCAGAGACCGAUAGCGCACAAGUAGAGUGAUCGAAAGAUGAAAAGCACUUUGGAAAGAGAGUUAAACAGUACGUGAAAUUGUUGAAAGGGAAGCGCUUGCAACCAGACUUGCCUGCCGUCGAUCAUCCUCCGUUCUCGGUGGUGCACUCGGCGGUGGUCAGGCCAGCAUCGGUUUUGGUGGUGGGAUAAAGACCUUAGGAAUGUGGCUCCUCUCGGGGAGUGUUAUAGCCUUCGGUGCAAUGCCGCCUACUGGGACCGAGGACCGCGCUUCGGCUAGGAUGCUGGCGUAAUGGUUGUAAGCGACCC